RNAcentral lists this transfer RNA (90 nucleotides) under uncultured delta proteobacterium. RNAcentral's name for it is "tRNA-Ser". It matches the Rfam family "tRNA". From Rfam's summary of the family: Transfer RNA (tRNA) molecules are approximately 80 nucleotides in length. Their secondary structure includes four short double-helical elements and three loops (D, anti-codon, and T loops). Further hydrogen bonds mediate the characteristic L-shaped molecular structure. tRNAs have two regions of fundamental functional importance: the anti-codon, which is responsible for specific mRNA codon recognition, and the 3' end, to which the tRNAs corresponding amino acid is attached (by aminoacyl-tRNA synthetases). tRNAs cope with the degeneracy of the genetic code in two manners: having more than one tRNA (with a specific anti-codon) for a particular amino acid; and 'wobble' base-pairing, i.e. permitting non-standard base-pairing at the 3rd anti-codon position. Lineage: Bacteria; Deltaproteobacteria. The record is from RNAcentral.
GGAGAGGUGUCCGAGCGGCCGAAGGAGCACGACUGGAAAUCGUGUGUACGAGGAAUCGUACCCAGAGUUCAAAUCUCUGCCUCUCCGCCA